UGAGAUGUGGUCCCCGCUCAAAGGCCC
RNAcentral lists this non-coding RNA (27 nucleotides) under Mus musculus (house mouse). Lineage: Eukaryota; Metazoa; Chordata; Mammalia; Rodentia; Muridae. The record is from RNAcentral.